ACUCAAAUGAAUUGACGGGGGCCCGCACAAGCGGUGGAGCAUGUGGUUUAAUUCGAUGCAACGCGAAGAACCUUACCUACUCUUGACAUCCAGCGAACUUAGCAGAGAUGCUUUGGUGCCUUCGGGAACGCUGAGACAGGUGCUGCAUGGCUGUCGUCAGCUCGUGUUGUGAAAUGUUGGGUUAAGUCCCGCAACGAGCGCAACCCUUAUCCUUUGUUGCCAGCGAUUCGGUCGGGAACUCAAAGGAGACUGCCGGUGAUAAACCGGAGGAAGGUGGGGAUGACGUCAAGUCAUCAUGGCCCUUACGAGUAGGGCUACACACGUGCUACAAUGGCGCAUACAAAGAGAAGCGACCUCGCGAGAGCAAGCGGACCUCACAAAGUGCGUCGUAGUCCGGAUCGGAGUCUGCAACUCGACUCCGUGAAGUCGGAAUCGCUAGUAAUCGUGGAUCAGAAUGCCACGGUGAAUACGUUCCCGGGCCUUGUACACACCGCCCGU
RNAcentral lists this ribosomal RNA (498 nucleotides) under uncultured bacterium. Its description in RNAcentral is "partial 16S ribosomal RNA". It matches the Rfam family "Bacterial small subunit ribosomal RNA", at positions 899 to 1397 of the family's 1533-position model. The record is from RNAcentral.